Molecule: ribosomal RNA, 448 nt
Filed under: uncultured organism
Description: partial 16S ribosomal RNA
Rfam family: Bacterial small subunit ribosomal RNA
Source: RNAcentral
ACUCCUACGGGAGGCAGCAGUGGGGAAUUUUACGCAAUGGGGGAAACCCUGACGUAGCGACACCGCGUGAGCGAAGAAGCCCUUUGGGGUGUAAAGCUCUGUCAGCUGGAACGAAAACAAUGACGGUACCAGCAGAGGAAGCAUCGGCUAACUACGUGCCAGCAGCCGCGGUAAGACGUAGGAUGCGAGCGUUGUCCGGAUUUAUUGGGCGUAAAGAGUUCGUAGGUGGUUUGUUAAGUUUGGUGUUAAAGAUCGGGGCUCAACCCUGGGACUGCACUGAAUACUGGCAGACUCGAGUGUGGUAGAGGCUAGUGGAAUUCCCAGUGUAGCGGUGAAAUGCGUAGAUAUUGGGAAGAACACCGGUGGCGUAGGCGACUAGCUGGGCCAUAACUGACGCUGAGGAACGAAAGCCAGGGGAGCGAAUGGGAUUAGAUACCCUUGUAGUCCC